UACGGGAGGCAGCAGUGAGGAAUAUUGGUCAAUGGACGCAAGUCUGAACCAGCCAUGCCGCGUGAAGGAUGAAGGCCUUCUGGGUUGUAAACUUCUUUUAUUGGGGAAGAAAAUUACGGUUUCUACUGUAACCGACGGUACCCAAGGAAUAAGCACCGGCUAACUCCGUGCCAGCAGCCGCGGUAAUACGGAGGGUGCAAGCGUUAUCCGGAUUCACUGGGUUUAAAGGGUGUGUAGGCGGGCAUUUAAGUCAGUGGUGAAAUCUCCGAGCUCAACUCGGAAACUGCCAUUGAUACUAUUUGUCUUGAAUAUCGUUGAGGUUGGCGGAAUAUAUCAUGUAGCGGUGAAAUGCUUAGAUAUGAUAUAGAACACCGAUUGCGAAGGCAGCUAACUAAGCGAUGAUUGACGCUGAGGCACGAAAGCGUGGGGAUCAAACAGGAUUAGAUACCCUGGUAGUCCACGCCCUAAACGAUGAUUACUCGACAUACGCGAUACACAGUGUGUGUCGAGCGAAAGC
RNAcentral lists this ribosomal RNA (517 nucleotides) under uncultured bacterium. RNAcentral's name for it is "bacterial SSU rRNA". It matches the Rfam family "Bacterial small subunit ribosomal RNA", at positions 340 to 858 of the family's 1533-position model. The record is from RNAcentral.